AUUGAACGCUGGCGGCAGGCUUAACACAUGCAAGUCGAGCGGGGUGAUGGUGCUUGCACUAUCACUUAGCGGCGGACGGGUGAGUAAUGCUUAGGAAUCUGCCUAUUAGUGGGGGACAACAUCUCGAAAGGGAUGCUAAUACCGCAUACGUCCUACGGGAGAAAGCAGGGGAUCACUUGUGACCUUGCGCUAAUAGAUGAGCCUAAGUCGGAUUAGCUAGUUGGUGGGGUAAAGGCCUACCAAGGCGACGAUCUGUAGCGGGGCUGAGGGGAUGAUCCGCCACACUGGGACUGAGACACGGCCCAGACUCCUACGGGAGGCAGCAGUGGGGAAUAUUGGACAAUGGGGGGAACCCUGAUCCAGCCAUGCCGCGUGUGUGAAGAAGGCCUUAUGGUUGUAAAGCACUUUAAGCGAGGAGGAGGCUCUUUUGGUUAAUACCCAAGAUGAGUGGACGUUACUCGCAGAAUAAGCACCGGCUAACUCUGUGUCAGCCGCCGCCGUAA
Molecule: ribosomal RNA, 503 nt
Filed under: uncultured bacterium
Lineage: Bacteria
Description: partial 16S ribosomal RNA
Rfam family: Bacterial small subunit ribosomal RNA
Source: RNAcentral